RNAcentral lists this ribosomal RNA (253 nucleotides) under uncultured bacterium. Its description in RNAcentral is "partial 16S ribosomal RNA". It matches the Rfam family "Bacterial small subunit ribosomal RNA", at positions 524 to 776 of the family's 1533-position model. The record is from RNAcentral.
UACGUAGGGCGCAAGCGUUGUCCGGAAUCAUUGGGCGUAAAGAGCGUGUAGGCGGCCCGAUAAGUCCGCUGUGAAAGUCCAGGGCUCAACCCUGGAAUGCCGGUGGAUACUGUCGGGCUCGAAUCCGGAAGAGGUGAGUGGAAUUCCUGGUGUAGCGGUGAAAUGCGCAGAUAUCAGGAGGAACACCAAUGGCGAAGGCAGCUCACUGGGACGGUAUUGACGCUGAGACGCGAAAGCGUGGGGAGCAAACAGG